RNAcentral lists this ribosomal RNA (116 nucleotides) under Pteropus alecto (black flying fox). Lineage: Eukaryota; Metazoa; Chordata; Mammalia; Chiroptera; Pteropodidae. The record is from RNAcentral.
ACGGACAGCCAUGCCACCCUGAACAAGCCCCAUGUCUGAUCUCAGAAGCUAAGCACGGUCAGGCCUGGUUAGUACUUGGAUGGGAGACCACCUAGGAAGAGCAGGUGCUAUAGGUA